CUAUCAUCCAGAAAGGUGGAGGGACUGGCCCUGAGAAGCCUUGGCAACCGUCAUUGCUCUAAUGAGCGGUGCCAAUUCCAUCCCGGCAUAAAGACCGGGAAUGAUGAUGG
This 110-nucleotide non-coding RNA is filed under the name Pelodictyon phaeoclathratiforme. Its description in RNAcentral is "SAM-I sequence". It matches the Rfam family "SAM riboswitch aptamer (S box leader)". From Rfam's summary of the family: The SAM riboswitch is found upstream of a number of genes which code for proteins involved in methionine or cysteine biosynthesis in Gram-positive bacteria. The SAM riboswitch acts at the level of transcription termination control. The record is from RNAcentral. RNAcentral also lists the same sequence under 1 other name. Lineage: Bacteria; Pseudomonadati; Chlorobiota; Chlorobiia; Chlorobiales; Chlorobiaceae.